GUGGGGAAUAUUGGACAAUGGGGGGAACCCUGAUCCAGCCAUGCCGCGUGUGUGAAGAAGGCCUUUUGGUUGUAAAGCACUUUAAGCGAGGAGGAGGCUACCGAGAUUAAUACUCUUGGAUAGUGGACGUUACUCGCAGAAUAAGCACCGGCUAACUCUGUGCCAGCAGCCGCGGUAAUACAGAGGGUGCAAGCGUUAAUCGGAUUUACUGGGCGUAAAGCGCGUGUAGGUGGCCAAUUAAGUCAAAUGUGAAAUCCCCGAGCUUAACUUGGGAAUUGCAUUCGAUACUGGUUGGCUAGAGUAUGGGAGAGGAUGGUAGAAUUCCAGGUGUAGCGGUGAAAUGCGUAGAGAUCUGGAGGAAUACCGAUGGCGAAGGCAGCCAUCUGGCCUAAUACUGACACUGAGGUGCGAAAGCAUGGGGAGCAAACAGGAUUAGAUACCCGUGUAGUCC
RNAcentral lists this ribosomal RNA (451 nucleotides) under uncultured bacterium. RNAcentral describes it as "partial 16S ribosomal RNA". It matches the Rfam family "Bacterial small subunit ribosomal RNA", at positions 354 to 796 of the family's 1533-position model. The record is from RNAcentral.